UAAUAUAUUCAAUCAAAACCAACAUGAUUCAACAAAAGAAUCAAAACAAUAACAAACCGAAACAAAUAACAAAAACAAAUACAAAAAAGUAAAUGAAAAUCAGCUAUUUUUUACAAAACACAAGAUAUACAAAAAUUGUAUUGAUUUAUAGAAAUUAGAUGAUGGAUACAAAAACACAUUACCUAAAUGCCCCAAGUCCGACUACACAUGGAAAAAUCGGGAAUCAAUAACCAAAAGUUCAAAAAUAAAUUAAAAAACGUAAUGAUUAACUUUAAUCGACUACUGAGCAUAGUCGAUUAAAACUUAACAUAGUCGAUUAGGGGUCUAGCAUGCGCGACUUUCUCCGCCCCGCCGGAUCUAACCAAAAACUCUAGAUCUGUCUUUCCAUUGUCAUACCGUCGUCACACCACACCAUCACCAUCCCCACCAUCAUCACCACAAAAACACCGUCUAAUUUCCACCCGCAUGGAGAGUGAUCUCAUUCUUCUCGGACGACAAUAGUAGAUCGACUCUCAUGGCGAGAAGGGGCUGCUGUUGCUCACGACAGCAGCAUCGUGGUGGUUCAGGCCUCGUGGAGCGCAGCCAUGAGGGCGUAGAAGAUAUGGGGCGCCGACAAUUCUUUGUCCGACUUCUUGCUUUUGUGAGAGAGAAGAAGGAUG
This 659-nucleotide long non-coding RNA is filed under the name Erythranthe guttata (spotted monkey flower). RNAcentral describes it as "long non-coding RNA (EGUT_LNC000933)". The record is from RNAcentral. Lineage: Eukaryota; Viridiplantae; Streptophyta; Magnoliopsida; Lamiales; Phrymaceae.